UACGGAGGGUGCAAGCGUUAUCCGGAUUCACUGGGUUUAAAGGGAGCGUAGGUGGGUUGGUAAGUCAGUGGUGAAAUCCCCGAGCUUAACUUGGGAACUGCCAUUGAUACUAUCAGUCUUGAAUACUGUGGAGGUUAGCGGAAUAUGUCAUGUAGCGGUGAAAUGCUUAGAUAUGACAUAGAACACCAAUUGCGAAGGCAGCUGGCUACUCGGAUAUUGACACUGAGGCACGAAAGCGUGGGGAUCAAACAGG
Molecule: ribosomal RNA, 253 nt
Filed under: uncultured bacterium
Lineage: Bacteria
Description: partial 16S ribosomal RNA
Rfam family: Bacterial small subunit ribosomal RNA
Source: RNAcentral